GACCAGACUCCUACGGGAGGCAGCAGUGGGGAAUAUUGGGCAAUGGGCGCAAGCCUGACCCAGCAACGCCGCGUGAAGGAAGAAGGCUUUCGGGUUGUAAACUUCUUUUGUCAGGGACGAAGCAAGUGACGGUACCUGACGAAUAAGCCACGGCUAACUACGUGCCAGCAGCCGCGGUAAUACGUAGGUGGCAAGCGUUAUCCGGAUUUAUUGGGUGUAAAGGGCGUGUAGGCGGGAAUGCAAGUCAGAUGUGAAAUCCCGCGGCUCAACCGCGGAACUGCAUUUGAAACUGUUUUUCUUGAGUACCGGAGAGGUCAUCGGAAUUCCUUGUGUAGCGGUGAAAUGCGUAGAUAUAAGGAAGAACACCAGUGGCGAAGGCGGAUGACUGGACGGCAACUGACGGUGAGGCGCGAAAGCGUGGGGAGCAAACAGGAUUAGAUACCCGAGUACAC
RNAcentral lists this ribosomal RNA (452 nucleotides) under uncultured bacterium. Its description in RNAcentral is "bacterial SSU rRNA". It matches the Rfam family "Bacterial small subunit ribosomal RNA", at positions 329 to 798 of the family's 1533-position model. The record is from RNAcentral.